This 494-nucleotide ribosomal RNA is filed under the name uncultured bacterium. Its description in RNAcentral is "partial 16S ribosomal RNA". It matches the Rfam family "Bacterial small subunit ribosomal RNA", at positions 28 to 507 of the family's 1533-position model. The record is from RNAcentral.
GACGAACGCUGGCGGCGUGCUUAACACAUGCAAGUCGAACGGAAAGGCCUUCUUUCCCUUGUGUGUUGCGGUUACUCGCGUGGCGAACGGGUGAGUAUCACGUGCGUUAUCUUCCCCCAACUUUUCUAUAAGCCUGGGAUACUGGCUCUUAUUCCCGCUAGCACUGUAGUGUGGUUCGUGUGGUGUCGACCGAUUUUCUUGUGGUUGCGGCUUAGCUGGCGGGCUAUCAGCUUGUUGGUGGGGUAAUGGCCUACCAAGGCUGGGACGGGUAGCCGGCCUGGGAGGGUGGGCGGCAACAGUGGAACGGAGAUACGGCGCAGACGACUACGGGAGGAAGCAGUGGGGAAGAUGGAACAAGGGGUGGAAGCCUGAGGGAGCGAGGCCGAGGGAGGGAUGACGGGCUUCGGAUUGUAAACUCCUGUCGACAGCGAGGAAGCCACCGGGUUGGAAGGGUGGUGACGGUAGUGGUAGAAGAAGCACCGGCUAACUACGUG